Molecule: long non-coding RNA, 105 nt
Organism: Octodon degus (degu)
Lineage: Eukaryota; Metazoa; Chordata; Mammalia; Rodentia; Octodontidae
Exons: 3
Source: RefSeq, a predicted model, not a curated record
CACAGAGGUGGGAAGUAGAGGCAUCAAACCCACAUGCAAUCAGACGUACCCUUCUUGGCCUUCCAGCUCCACUGGGUGCCAAGUGCAGUGCUUUGCCUCACAGCC